Molecule: ribosomal RNA, 586 nt
Filed under: uncultured bacterium
Lineage: Bacteria
Description: bacterial SSU rRNA
Rfam family: Bacterial small subunit ribosomal RNA
Source: RNAcentral
AGAGUUUGAUCCUGGCUCAGAUUGAACGCUGGCGGCUUGGCUAAAACAUGCAAGUCGAACGAUCCCUUCGGGGAGAGUGGCGAAAGGGCGAGGAAUAUAAUCUAAUGUGUCCUAAGGUUGGGGAUAGCUCUUGGAAACGAGAGGUAAUACCCAAUGUCCUCCACGGAAAAAAGGUUUACAGCCUUUGGAGCAGCGAUUGUCCUAUGAGGUAUUUGGUGAGGUAAAGGCUCCCAAUCCGAACACGGGUAGCGGGUGUGAGAGCAUGACCCGCCGCAUCUCGACUGAUACCCUGCCUGGACUCCUACGGUAGGCUGGACCUUCCAAUCUUCCUCAUUGGGCUAAAGCCAGACUGACCAUUGCUUCGUGUGGGAUCAUGCUUCUUCCAUGUGUAAACAUUUGUCCGAAUCGAUAACUAAUGAUCAGAUACAUACGAAGGGCCGGCUUAUCUCAUGACUCCGGCCACGGUAAUACUAGAGAUCCGAGCGUGUUUGCUAAUCACUGGGCUUAAAGUCUACGCCUGGGGAUAUCUAUGUAUCUUGUGAUAUCUCACAGGUUAAUCGCGGAACUGCAGGGUAUACAACUUGUC